CAGGGCCUACGGGGGGCAGCAGUGGGGAAUAUUGCACAAUGGGGGAAACCCUGAUGCAGCGACGCCGCGUGGGUGAAGAAGUACUUCGGUACGUAAAGCCCUAUCAGCAGGGAAGAAAAUGACGGUACCUGACUAAGAAGCCCCGGCUAACUACGUGCCAGCAGCCGCGGUAAUACGUAGGGGGCAAGCGUUAUCCGGAUUUACUGGGUGUAAAGGGAGCGUAGACGGCGGCGCAAGUCCGGAGUGAAAGCCCACGCCCCAACC
RNAcentral lists this ribosomal RNA (264 nucleotides) under uncultured bacterium. RNAcentral describes it as "partial 16S ribosomal RNA". It matches the Rfam family "Bacterial small subunit ribosomal RNA", at positions 332 to 614 of the family's 1533-position model. The record is from RNAcentral.